CCCUUAGAUGUUCUGGGCCGCACGCGUGCUACACUGAGUGGAUCAGCGGGUCAGGUUGCGCGAAAGUGUUUCCUAAUCUUGAAAUCCGCUCGUGAUGGGGAUUGACGGUUGCAGUUUUCCGUCAUGAACGAGGAAUACCUUGUAAGCGCGGGUCAUCAUCCCGCGCUGAAUACGUCCCUGCCCUUUGUACACACCGCCCGUCGCUCCUACCGAUUGAGUGGUCCGGUGAGGCUUUGGGAUCUGAGCGGAAAGAGCGUUUCGCUGUUUCUGCUCGGAAAACUCAGUCGAACCUUAUCAUUUAGAGGAAGGAGAAGUCGUAACA
This 322-nucleotide ribosomal RNA is filed under the name uncultured eukaryote. Its description in RNAcentral is "partial 18S ribosomal RNA". It matches the Rfam family "Eukaryotic small subunit ribosomal RNA", at positions 1470 to 1796 of the family's 1831-position model. The record is from RNAcentral.